GGGGGGCGGUCAGUGUUUAACUGCACUGUAAUAUUUUCCGCGUUGGAAGGAUAAGGCGGUAAAAAGAAUAGCUGCUACAAACAUAUUUUUAAGCACAUAUGAUUAUUUUUUACCCCUCAAAUCAGCGGAUGUAAGCCCCAUGUUUAGUCGUUAUGAGUCAUACUAAGGACUUAUAUUCCUUAUGCACAUCUCCCAAAUAGGCACAUUUUCCCUGGAUGUGAUCACAUGUUUAAAAUAUGUGUCCGAUGUCAAGUAUUAACUUUAUAUUGUACCUGUGUAAUUCUUUAGUGUGGCUUCACGGAUGUUGUAUAACGGUACCGUCCAGCUUCCUCAAUACUUCAAGCGGCUCUCAUAAUACAUCACCCUACCCUAGAAAAGGUUUUCCGUUCACUGACCGUAUCAGGUGACUAACUAUCGCGACCGAUGUUGGUGAUGGCACUUUGUGGUUUAAAGGCCUAAUCCCUUGUUAUCUGGCAGGCGUUUAUAAAGCUAAAGGGCUGACACCGAGGCUUUGGUACUGUCGUAUCAACAUGGAAGGGUUAUGGACAGCGCGCCGUUGGGUACAACUUGGCUCAAGCUGUCGACCGAUGUCCCGAAGGUGUAGUCCCACAACAUCUGCAGACACGCACGCAAAUAUGGUGAACGGGGUGUUUCAAUUUCUUGCCGUUAUAUUUGCUUCGCCCAUCAUAUUCCUAGAGGCGGUGAUCUGGAAGUGUGUUGUUGCCAAACACUGACUUGGCAAGCGGUAGUAAAGCCGUCAUAAAGUGGCUUAAGGUUUCAAAUCAAACCAGUGUGUCGAGUGGCCACUGUAUAAAUACACUCUGAAAGCUUCUUCAACCUGCUCAAAUUCGUUUUUUCUUUGCUAGAAUAUCUCUAUAAGGAAACGGGAAAUGGUGUGUCCCCCCCCCCCCGCGCCCCGCGCCCCCCCGCCCUAGGCUCUGUGCUGGGCCCCCAGAGGUUCUGCUAGAACGUAGGACUGAUGGAUCUGAGAUUACCAAAGCAGUGAAUCCCUGCGUCUCCCAGGCCUCACUCUGGGUGUGUUGCACAUCGUUCUUAAUGGGCCUGGUCUUGUGCCGGGCAUGGUUGUCAGGAUUAGAGCAUGGCAUUUCCUUCCCAGGAACUCUCGUCAGCUACAAUGGCGGAUAAGGCCUUCCCUUUGGGCAGCUGCCAGUAUCCAUGCAGGGCGGUUCUCCCGCGCAUGUAAGCUUCCUUUAAGUCGGGAGACGAUUAUAAUCGAAUAAAGCAAUUCAUUUAAUUGUGUUUUUGUAGAUCUACUGAUGGCUUACGUAGCACAAAAACGCACUAUAGCUCUGUGAUUUUAAGUAUGGCUUGUGCGUCGUCUGGUAUUUUGAGAUGGCCACCAAACAACCUCAUGGCCUCAUGGCUACAACCUGAUUCUACCAGGUGCGUGUUGCAAGAUAUCUCUGCAUAAUACCUACUAGACCCGACUCAUUCAAGAGUAGACAAGCCCCCAAUCUUCUUUGAAACAGUUUUUGUUUUGUCAAAUAGCUUUUAUUUGAUUUAUUGUUCCCCCUAAGAGAGAGAUCCCAACCUGUAGAGCGAGCUCGAACCACAUGUGUUUUAUGAGAGCAGGAGAGAGAGUCUGCUGGCUUCCAGGCAAGGCUUGACAACAAAGGCAUGUGUGUUUAGGUGUGGCGAUGUGUGUGUGUGUGUGUGUGUGUGUGUGUGUGUGUGUGUGUGUGUGUGUGUGUAGAUGGCUGUGUAAAUGGGUAUUGAGGGUGGUGGGCUGUGUGUGUUGGAGUGUGGCGGGGGGGCGGGGGGGGGGGGGUCGACUUGCACUUGAAAAUGAGCUUGGUUCCUUUUCGAUUUUUUUCCAACAGUCUCAUAGCUGUGGCACUCUCUUGCUUCUAAACACUGCAGAGUUAAACAAAUACAGGUUGUUGCAGGUUAUAAUAGCCCUCUGUGAGCGUGUGAGAGACGGCUAGUAAAAUCAAACCACUUUUGAAGGAAAUUAUUCUGAAUCAAGACCCAUUUUAAAAUGGCGCGUUCUUCACCUAAAGGCACGUGAGCCCUUUUUGCAUGAAGUUCUGAACACUACAAGGCAGGGAAAGGCGACGCAUGCACACAACCUGCACUUUAUUCACUGUGUGUGUGGGUUGUUGCUACAGGCGAUCUCUUCGGAGAAACCUCUUGUUAACUCUAUUCUCACCGACAGUCACACGGUGAGAAAACAGAAACAGUAAGAAUGUGUUACAAGAGUAGACGGCCAAACCGCAGCGAUGGAAAUCUUGUGGAGAGCGGUGUUCUUAGAAACGGUUUGCCGCGCGUCUUGCUACAAGUGCUGUCUUGUCUGUAGUUGAACUCGGGGCACCAGCGAAGUUUUCACACAUGGUGUAUAGGUGGAUGUGGUGGGCGGGGGUGUAAGCACCUGUCUGAGUGAUGAGGUGAGAUUGAGCGAUAAAUCAUCGCAUAGCUUGGUACUGGCAGACUCAUGGUGAGCUUACAUCAUGGGAAAAGCCUUUUAUUUUUAUUUUAUAUGUUUUUGAUCUGAACGACAUCUGGUGGACCACCCUAACCCACGUGGAAACACACACUCACUGCCAGUGUAGCGAUUAUACCCAUUCUACCCGAGCUCAGAUGGUUAGAUUAUACACUGUUGUCAUGGAUGGCGGCAGGUGAUGUGUGUGACCAGGACCUCAACCCGAUUCUCCAACUUUUGCUUUGGCAUGUCAAUUGGCAUGUCUGGUUGUGGACAGAGAUACUUGUGGCAGCCCGUCUAGCCAGGCAUGCUACACUGAGGCAGCUGCUCGUGGUACCAAGUCCAAAUUGAAACUUCUAUGUAUGAUAUAUAGCUAACACCUGAUAAGAGAUGAUGCAUGCUUAGUUGCCAGUGCAACCCAGCCCAACUUACAUUAUCUAUUGAUUGAAAGAGGGACAGGACCUUGUUUUAAUUGCAGGGCCUCACGAGUGGUUACGUGUUAUCCAGACCGUGCUUUUUUUGUAGCAAAGACUGACAAUACUUUUCAAGUGUCCAUGUGUCUCUGAUUUCUUCUGCUAGCUCACUGCUAUAUUAUUUAACAGCAUGCUUACUAGGGCACUAGGCUAAAGGCCACACUCACUCACUCACUCACUUGAAAGUAGACAUUUUCAAGUAUAUGAGCCUCUAGCACCUGCCAGUCGAUUGACCAAAUCCAGCAGACGGGAAGCAAUCAUAUUAGGAUGGGAGAGACAUUGUAAAGGUAAUUUGUGGGUAAUGUUUUUCCACUUGGCCCAGCGGUUCCCUAUCUCUCGGUGUCCGUCUACCCAUAUAAGUUCCACAACACAUUACAGUAUCAUUAAAUAUUUAGCCCGACUGCCAUGCCCCACUGAAUCGACCGCAAACAUUUAAUCAAUCCUCCCUUCCCUCAAAGUAAACCAACUCUCUCUGAAUUCCUGCGCAGCACUCUCUCUGUCAGAAGUGUUUGUCGUCGACACUCUCGUGUUUCCUAUCAUCGCACAAGCUCUCUUUGGCGGCGGGGCAUUCGUCUCCGUCUCCUAGGUCUGUGUGGUCAUAUGUGUGUCACUUGUGAGGUUUUUGUUUCCUCAUUGUGUGUCAGGCAUGAGUGACCAUGGGACUACAAGUCCCAUGUUUGAACAGGACCGUAGCCAUGCAAUCCAGCGAUCACCACCGCUGCGCUCAGACGAUAUGUAAUUUAGCUGCUUUGAGUCUACAGGCGCUGCAGAGUGAUAUUGUUUUGCUUGGGCCAUGUGGUGGAGCCUUCCGGCCCCUGAUCCUCUCACCGACUGGAGAGCCAUGUGUUUGUGUGUCAGUGUAUUCUGGGGACCGCUGCGGGUUUGAUGAUUGAUCUCUGCUGCAGAGUAGACAGGGGGGGGGGGCCUUCGGAGACCGCAUGCCAUGAGGCCAAACGUCAGACAACAAGACAGGAUGGAUACACUGGCCCAUCCUCGGGGCUGGGGGGGGGGGUAACCAACGCUUGUCCAGAGAGGACAGGGUUGUUUGAGGUUAGAUGGAAAAAUCGACAGGAAUGGACCGACGGAUAGAAGGGAAGAAUUUGUUUUCCAAUUUGGAAAAUACUUGAAACCUCAUGUGGCAAUAGGAUCCGGGGCGAAGCGUCUCGUAUAUGACACCUCGGCGGAAACACGAGGAGACGCAGUAGGAGGCUGGUCCAGAGAUGGUGAGAUUCUCUGCAUCACAUCGCCUCAGGCACAUUGUAAAGCGACGGGCAAUUAAGACCCCCAAUCUGGUGCGAUGGUGGACGAGACUGAGCUGUAGCACAGAGGAAGUGACAGUUCGUUGCUUCUUCCCAGUGGUAUGUUAACAAGAAAUAGGAUCUGAACACGAAGGCCCGGACUCCCACCCCGCCAUUAGCUACCGGGCAAUCUGUCCCGAUGAGAGGCAUGUUCCACGUGUACUCCCAGAGUUCAGCCCCAUUAGACACUGCAGUGCUGGUGGGUUGAGCCGAGCCUUCCUCCGAGCUUCAAGUAAAGUUAUUUUAUCUUCCACUGAGACGAGGCCUCUCCACAAGGCGGGAAAACACAGCAGGGUGCGAGACAUGAUGUUUGCCGCCUCCUUUCAUAGGGAAGUGACAGAACCCAAGGGGGAGGGAGAGAGGGAUGUGCUUCUCUUUUCUGUAUCAUUGAAAUGGAAGGAAGGAAGGAAGUCCGUAUUUUUUGUUGUUGUGGUUAACCGUGUGAAACAUAUCUUGGUCAAGGUUUGACUCGUGCAUAUAUCGAGUGACUAGUGAAGCGUUAAACCGUCGGGUCCAAUGUUAGCCAGGGUCAUGCACAGUGGAAAACUUAACGAUGAGGUCCACAUGACCUGGGUGGAAUCAAGUCAGACCAGCCUCCUAUGUUUUGGAAUGAUGCGUAGGAUGAAUCGGCAUACCAGUGGGUAGGGUCCACUGGGAGCAUGCUGCUGAUUCAUCCAUCAUACAUCUGGAUGGACACGCCCAUGGGUGAUGUCGUAAAUUUGUCCAUUUUUAAUGGCUAACCAACGUCACAUCCUGUGGUAAAACAGGCACUCCCUUUUAAUCCGAUACUCCAGAGCAUUUAGCCAUCUUAUUUAGGCAGCAUGUCGGCUUUCUGUGUUACUGUUUGGCUAUUCCCCACAGGCAGAAGGCUGGGGUAGUCGCGUAGCUCCCGUUCCAUACGUCUCCCCCAUAGCUUCUAAUGCUGACCAGCGUCCCUCCCUCUCUGGGAGGAGGGGGGCGAACCCCAAGGUCUCGUGUCCGACCAGCCGAUGCCUGCCCCGUCAGCCUAGCAACCACUUGUAAAAAGUUGUCGUCAGGGGCUGUGCACAAAGGCGCCUAGUGUAGACCGCUGGGUUUGUCCCGGUGCUGUGUGACACGUGAAACCCCCAAUCAAACCCAGCCCUGCUGCCCUGCUGCCGCGGCGGCGGCGGCUGGGUUUUACUCCUGGACAUGCUUGGCAGACGGAACACAGCGGGUUUCCAAUACUGCUAUACAAUUGGCAUGGGAAACGAGCAUUUGGGCUGCAUUGCCAAAAGCAAAAAGUACAUUAUGAACAUUGAAAUAGAACCAUGACGGGCUAAACCGGCGGCCUAAUGUAAGGUGAAAAGCACUAUACCGAGUGAUUCACCUUCAUAAAUGUAGUGUAAAAGAUGGCGUCGGCUUUUGUCAGCGAAAGCCCACCACCACCACCACCAGCUGAAGAGGAUGAUGACGACGAUGAGGAAGAGGGAUAGUUUCCCACGGUGCUGAAUGAGUCCGAGGGAUGGAUCUGUUAAUGGCUCCGAUCCUGCCUGAUCCAAUCAACUCGCUCCCUCUAGGGAUUUCCCCCUCUCUCCUGAUCCUCCCUCCCUCUGUGGCCCGACUGCUGAACAUCCUGCUUGCUCUACAACCAAUGCACGAGGACCACUAGGGAAAUUGUGCAUAUAUGGGUUAAUGCAAGCUCUGUUGCAGCUGUGACGUGUGUGUGUGUGUGUGUGUGUGUGUGUGUGUGUGUGUGUGUGUGUGUGUGUGUGUGUGUGUGUGUGUGUGUGUGUGUGUGUGUGUGUGUGUGUGUGUGUGUGUGUGUGUGUGUGUGUGUGUGUGUGUGUGUGUGUGUGUGUGUGUGUGUGUCACACCUAUAGCUGAUGUUAUUUGCAAGCAUGCUUCCCUCUGUGUGAAGCUGUUGUUUCCUGCGGAGCUCUGUGACACGUCUCUUAAUUUCUUUAUCAACACUAUAGCACCGAUCGUUCGUGCAUGCUCACUUCCCCUCAGUCCAUUUAAACUCCUUCUUUGCAUGAACUAGUGUAAAUCUUGGUUCUCUUAAACCCUUUUUAAAUAACCCUUUAAAUCACCCUUUAACUCGGUCUUUAACCCUUAACUUAUCAGUGGGAGGAGAAGAUUCCUAGCAGGAAAUUACAAAGGAAUCUUCGUAUCUUCCAGUACUUAUUGACUCGGCAGGUAAAGCCUGUGGUUCAAUUCCCUUGGCUGAAACAAAUCAGACCGGAUCAGAAAUGCAGACCGCUUUGCUCCAACAUACUAUGACCUCAGCCAAAAGACAACCUUCAUGUUUUAAAUAAACAUUUCACAACUAUAUAUAGUCUUAAUAUUUGUAUUAUUUUAUUAUUAAUCAAUCAUCUGAUCUACAUAAUCUAAAACGAUAUCUCAUCAAUUUUAUUGUAGGUAAGCAUAUUGCCCUGCGCACUCUCCCUUUAGUGAAUGUGCCUUCAUAUAAGCAACUUUGCCAAUGGACCUAUUGGCACAAACAUUCAAACUCCCCUCAGAUGAGACCAGCAAUCCCUUUCAGGGCUAUUUUCUGCGUGUUUGAGCCCUACCUACCAUCCUACUACAGUGCUCAGUGGUGAACCGGCCAUGUAGCACUACCAGGCCCCAGACACAUUGACUGAACCGCUCCAACCAAAGAGAGGCUGUGUGUCUGUGUCUGUCUUUUAAUGCUGUUACUUACGUUAGCAGUUAGCUUGUCGGGUAACAAAAGGAAUUUGGACUCAGUACUCCUCCUGAGUGUCUAUGUGGCUGAUAUAGGCUACCAUAUGGGCCAAGCCCUAGGGUGUGUGUGUUUAUGGAUGCAUAGUGGUCUUACACUGACUCACUCACUAAUAUAGUGUGGUUAAUAUAUUCCUCAUUAAAUGGCAAACCUCAGCUUUUCUAUUAUAGUAACUUAUUUGUGUGUGGAUUUGCCUUAUUAAAAUCUGUGUGUCAGACAUGGUCCAGUAAUUAAGCUGUGUGUGUGUGUGUGUGUGUGUCUGUAAAACAAGCACACAACGUAAAGUAAAAGGAGCUCCAGGUAAUUGACUUCCUCUCUCUCCUUCUUUCCUUUCCUCAUCGUCUUUCCUUGUCUCCUUUACUCAUACACACUCAACGCUCCAAAGGCCUAGGAGGGCAUCUCACUCACACACCAAUCAGGGUUUGCCUGUCUUUAGCCUCCAUCCAGAAGCAGGAAAUUGAGGCCAUUGCAGACCCUAUCCUCUCUCUCGCCCUCGCUCACCCCUCUCUCUCUCUGCUGUUUAUGCUGCCCCAUAGGAAGCCAAAGGAGCAGUGAAACGAUGAGGGAAAUGACGUUUCACAUUCCUGCUCUCCAGAACAUGCACGGUCACACACUUGAAACAGCCAGGUUAUUUUACAAAUGAGUCCACCUGAUGGGUUUUCUAGUGUCUCUCUUGUUCACGGGCGUGGUCCUCAUGUGAUCAGUCAGGUGUGUGUGUGUGUGUGUGUGAAUUUUACCUUUGUUCACUAGGCAUGUUCAGGUGCCUUGAGCAUUUGUGUAAUUGUGCACACGUGUGUGUGUGUGUGUGUGUGUGUGUGUGUGUGUGAAUGUAUGCGGGUGUGACUGCGUUCCUUUUUAAUGAUUGAUAUGGUUUCAGACAUUGCUCCUUGUUGGCCUAUUUCGUCACAGUUGUCGCGGUGAAUGGCAGUUAAGUGUGUUGCCUUAUAAGGUAAAAGUGAGCAAGGCAGGCAGGCAGGGGAGGGACAGGAAGAGCUUGUUACCGUGACAAUGCUGUCUGCUGCCGGGCUACUGGGCCGGCCUGCAACACCCGUUUAGCCACAUUGUUGCUGACAUUCUCUCUCCCUCUUUCUCCCCCUUUCUCUCUUUCUUUCUUCCUCAGCAUCUCUAGUUUCAGAUUGUUUUAUUAUUAAAAAUAUUUUCCUGAAAUACUUGGAAAAAGUUGUUUUGGGUUGUUUUGAUGUCCAAUUUGACAUACUGUACAUUUGAACUCUGCUCUUUCAAUUUUUCUUUUUGUGGUCGAGCUCCUUUCCCUUGUUACAUGACUGCUGACAGAUGACGAGUAUGAUGGGAAUGUUAAGUAUGAGAACAUGCAUUCUGAAAUGUCUGCUCAGAUAUGACACACGCAAACAAUCACUCACACACUGACACUCACACUCUCUGCCUUACUUCUUUUAAUCCUUCACUCUCAUUGUUCUGGUUUCCUGUCCUGGUUCCCUAGCCUUGCUGGUUUCCUUGCCUCCUUCCAACCCCCUCUCUGAGGAAUUUCAGCACAGAGGCGUCAUAUGGACUUUAGGCCCGCUGUGACUCUGGCGAUACAGCUGUGUGUGUAGGGGGUGAAGUUUACGUUUAAUGCUAAGUUUGUUUUUACAAGAUGUCCAUACUGAUUUCCAUUUAGCUAAUAUAACUGUAGCAACGUUUGCUGCAAGAUAGGGGUGUGUGUGUGUGUGUGUGUGUGUGUGUGUGUGUGUGUGUGUGUGUGUGUGUGUGUGUGUGUGUGUGUGUGUGUGUGUGUGUGUGUGUGUGUGUGUGUGUGUGUGUGUGUGUGUGUGACAAAC
Molecule: long non-coding RNA, 8708 nt
Organism: Gadus macrocephalus (Pacific cod)
Lineage: Eukaryota; Metazoa; Chordata; Actinopteri; Gadiformes; Gadidae
Exons: 2
Source: RefSeq, a predicted model, not a curated record